Molecule: ribosomal RNA, 252 nt
Filed under: uncultured prokaryote
Description: partial 16S ribosomal RNA
Rfam family: Bacterial small subunit ribosomal RNA
Source: RNAcentral
UACGGAGGAUGCAAGCGUUAUCCGGAUUCAUUGGGUUUAAAUGGUGCGUAGGCGGGCUAUUAAGUCAGUGGUGAAAUCCUGCAGCUUAACUGCAGAACUGCCGUUGAUACUGAUAGUCUUGAGUUUGGUUAAGGUAGGCGGAAUGAGUAAUGUAGCGGUGAAAUGCUUAGAUAUUACACAGAACACCAAUUGCGUAGGCAGCUUACUGAGCCGACACUGACGCUGAGGCACGAAAGCGUGGGGAGUCAAACA